AGCUAUACAACGUAGGGACAAGAUGGGCACAACAAGUUUGAAGAUGGCAAAAAGGGGCCUUCAGGAGAUGUAUCAAGGAUUGCAGCGAAUCAUAUCCUCUCGAUUGGAGUCCACUUGCUGGAUAUUGAGAAAAUAAGUCGCCGUUGCUACACGCCUUUAACGGUGAUUGAUAUGCGCUAACUCACGGACGGCCGAUUAUUGCAGCCAACCAAAGGCAUGAAUGUUGCAUGUGGACACGAGGAGAUAGAGCCUAUCGGAGGUGCCUCUCUAGGGUCGUCCACCCACCAAUGGUGAAAGCAAGCUACAAGACCAGCCCGCUCCGCCUAUGGAUGCAGUGGACAUCAUUGGACAAAUUCACACAAGCUCUUAUGCUUGGGCCCUGAGUUCUCUCCUGUCACAAUUUUCGCUUAUGACUGGCCAGAGAAUCUACUGGUGCAUACAUGGUUUCAUCAAAGCCUCCCAUGGUUGCACCUUCCAUUUCUUCUGGUAAUUGAGAGUGAUAAAUGCAAUUAUGCAGUGAAGAGGGAUGAGUAAUUAAAUUAUUUGAUUUGUUGAGCAACUCCAGAAUAGAUAUUUACCGGUACAUCUCAAUUAUUUAAAGAACUAAAGAGGUUCUGAAUGAAUUUCUUCUAUUCUUUGGAAUAUUUUUGAGCUAUACACGGAAACAUUUUUGGUUGUUUCUUGGAUGAUUCAUAUGUGAAUCUAAGCUAUUCUCAUAGGUUUUGAACC
Molecule: long non-coding RNA, 729 nt
Organism: Triticum dicoccoides
Lineage: Eukaryota; Viridiplantae; Streptophyta; Magnoliopsida; Poales; Poaceae
Exons: 3
Source: RefSeq, a predicted model, not a curated record